This 503-nucleotide ribosomal RNA is filed under the name uncultured bacterium. RNAcentral describes it as "partial 16S ribosomal RNA". It matches the Rfam family "Bacterial small subunit ribosomal RNA", at positions 30 to 523 of the family's 1533-position model. The record is from RNAcentral.
AUUGAACGCUGGCGGCAGGCUUAACACAUGCAAGUCGAGCGGGGUGAUGGUGCUUGCACUAUCACUUAGCGGCGGACGGGUGAGUAAUGCUUAGGAAUCUGCCUAUUAGUGGGGGACAACAUCUCGAAAGGGAUGCUAAUACCGCAUACGUCCUACGGGAGAAAGCAGGGGAUCACUUGUGACCUUGCGCUAAUAGAUGAGCCUAAGUCGGAUUAGCUAGUUGGUGGGGUAAAGGCCUACCAAGGCGACGAUCUGUAGCGGGUCUGAGAGGAUGAUCCGCCACACUGGGGCUGAGACACGGCCCAGACUCCUACGGGAGGCAGCAGUGUGGAAUAUUGGACAAUGGGGGGAACCCUGAUCCAGCCAUGCCGCGUGUGUGAAGAAGGCCUUAUGGUUGUAAAGCACUUUAAGCGAGGAGGAGGCUCUUUUGGUUAAUACCCAAGAUGAGUGGACGUUACUCGCAGAAUAAGCACCGGCUAACUCUGUGCCAGCCGCCGCCGUAA